RNAcentral lists this long non-coding RNA (2662 nucleotides) under Triticum aestivum (bread wheat). RNAcentral's name for it is "long non-coding RNA (TAES_LNC003425)". The record is from RNAcentral. Lineage: Eukaryota; Viridiplantae; Streptophyta; Magnoliopsida; Poales; Poaceae.
AAAUAUAUGCUUUAUCAGUAGUCAUCAAUAAUCUGCAUAGAUAGUAGAUCCAUAUGACUACCUUGUGAUCCCAAGCAUCAAUUUGACGAAAUCACUUUGAAUGUUGCAUCUGUAUUUGCAAGAAAUUGAAAAUUUCAAUUGCAAAUAGACGUAUUAAUCUCGACAUGUGUUUAACAUGGAAAUAAAUGCAUCAUAGAUAUAUUCCGGAAUACAUCGUACUCAACGUAGAAACAGUACUGCAGAGGUACUGAAUUUUAUCUUUGCAAGAGAUGAGAAAUCUCGAUUGCAAAUGAACGUAAUUAGUCUCAACACGUGAUAAACGUGAAAAUAUAUUACAUCAACUUAAGAUCUGGAAUACAUCUCGGUACUCAAUAGAUAUACACUACUAUUGUAAUGAAUAGUAAUGAUGUUGCAAACUUGAUGUUCAAGUGAAAAACUUGAAUUGUAUAGACCUCAAAAUAAAAUGAGAUGAUUUUGUAUCAAGUUGCAAGAUAUAUAAUUCAGCAGAGUGAAUUAAUAUUUUGCGAGAGAAAGUAAUCUCAAUUGCAAUGAGAUUGUUUUGCGAGAAAAAUUUCUCAAUGCAAAUCAACAUUGUUGUGCGAGAACCUGUCCAUUGAUUUGUAAUUUACGGAGACUUAAAUGUGAAAUACAGAUAAGUCAAGGAUUAUUCUGCAUGCUGAAUUAAGUCAAAAGACUUCAAACAGCAGCGUCCAAUCCGUAAAUAUGCAAAACAACGAGGCCUGAAGUACAAAAAAAACCCGGAUAGAGAUAAGGUUUUUUCUCCUGUGCAGUUUCCGAUCACUAGUAAAUCGUAACUGCCUCCGCCUCUCGGGCUCGCCGGCCACGAGCGCGGGGCGGCCACGGGCACGGCCGGGCGGCCGGGCGCGGGGCGCGGCCCGACGCGGGCGGCGGCCGGGCUGACGGGGAUGGCCGAGGCGGCGAGUACCGUCUCGGCGCAGCCGGCGCUGUGGCCGCAUCCAACGGCGCGAUGGCCGUGUCCUGCGGGCAAGCGAGGGCGGAGCGCGGCGCGUGGCCGGGCACGGGGCGCGGCACGGGACUCGACGGGCGUGGCGCGGCGCGUUGGCCACCGCUGCAGUCUGGUACCGCAUGUGCGCGAGCGCCGCAGUCAACGGCAAGCGAGAUAGGCUCGUCAGCCGGAAGAAGGAACGCUGCGUCGGCCGCUGGCCGUCUUCACCCCAAUAUGAGUUGGGGCUGCAGAUGAGCCGCGCUGGGAGGUUCCACGCCAAGGUCGAAGGCCAUCGUCGUGUGAUGUUCUUCCCGCUCCUGCAUGUCUGAAGGCAGCCGCUGCGUGCGCAGCCCAGGUAUGCCAAAACAUCCGAUGACAGAGUUUGAUGCGUGCAGACUUAAAAUCGGAAAAUAGCACCUUGAUUCUUGUUCGUAGCAAUGAGAUCAAGACGUUGAUAUUUGCUUCGGUUGCUUGUUGACUCUGAUUUCUCUCUUCCUUGAUUCCAAUCCAUUGAGCACAGGGAUGUGCCAGGAGGCCGAAAAUUAAGAUCGCCACAGACUGGGACGGCGGGACCGUCGGAAUUGCUGCCUCCGUUGUCGAAGACGUUGCCACGCGUCGGGCGUCGCUGCAAACAUUGGAUGGAAGUCUGUGCAUCAAAUGCUGUCGUUGCUCCAUGUCCUUGGCCGUCCCCUCCGUAACAGCCAUGUCGGGAUGGCCUAGUCACUCUCUGCGGAGAAACUAAAGUGCUGAUAACGUGUUAGAAAGGGAAACGAGAGACAAUCGAGAGAGCCUUGGAACACAUGUAAAAGUGAAUCCUUGUUCUCAUUGAUGAUGGGUUACACAUAUAUAUAUAACCCCCGAAGGGGUGUCUCCGAAGGGACACAAGGCAACCGCCUCCUUUAGGAAAAGUAGGGAUUAACAGGAUUAAUUAAAUCCUAACAAUCAUCAACCCUUCUCCAUCGCUAAUUCCAUGAUGCUCCCCAUCAGGAGUGAGUAAUCCCUUCGUAGGCUCGCUGGUCGGUGAGGAGUUAGAUGAGAUUCAUCAUGUAAUCGAGUUAGUUUUGUUAGGGCUUGAUCCCUAGUAUCCAUUAUGGUCUGAGGUUGAUGUUGCUAUGACUUUUCCAUGCUUAAUGCUUGUUACUUUGGGCCCGGGUACCAUGAUUUCAGAUCUGAACCGUUUAUGUUAUCACCAUUAUAUCUAUGUUCUAGAUCCGAUCUUGCAAGUUAUAGUCACCUACUACGUGUUAUGAUCCGGCAACCCCGGAGUGACAAUAGUCGGGACACUUCCCAAUGAUGACCGUAGUUUGAGGAGUUCAUGUAUUCACCUUGUGUUAAUGCUUUGUUACAGUUCUAUAUUAAAAGGAGGCCUUAAUAUCCCUUAAUUUCCAAUAGGACCCCGCUACCACGGGAGGGUAGGACAAAAGAUGUCAUGCAAGUUCUUUCCACUUAAUUCUAACGAGAAUCAGAUUAAAUAGGUCGACAAAAAUCAUUUUAGGAGUUGUGAUAAAGUCUCUUCAUUCUUUCAUAGAAUGAUACAAAGCAAGGCUGCAGGGUUUAGGUCAAAAAUAAACAUAGGUAAGGUAGGUAUCCAAUAAAUAUUUAUCUAUCGAUAAUUUUAUGGUAUAUUCGGGCGUCCUUUGCUUAAAAAAAGAGUAACAAAAGGAAUAAAAAAUCUUCCUAUUCCCGCUUCUUCUA